UGUACGUGGCUAAGAAAAUCCUCUGCCAUGAUCCUCAUAAUAACUACAGAAUAUCCUUCCUCGAUUCUCGCUUUCCUUUCCCAAGACCAUGGUCCCUUCAUCCCUUCUCCCUCCCGCAACUCCCUCAGAUUUUCUUCCGCCACUCCUCUCCUCUUCGGGCCUCUACCUAGGUUCCUCAGCUUCGUGCCCCUAGAAAUCAAAGGCGGCGACUGAGGGUAGUCACAUCGAGGAGCCGUACUUGGGAGAAGUGGGAUGUUCCCGAAAAAAAUCCUUGGAUCUCUCUUGCACACGCCAAUGGCAUCGGUGAACACUGGUGAGAGGCAGGUAGAAUUGAUGCCGGAGUCUAGGGCCACCGUCUCAUAGAUGCGGCAGAACGUGCGGCGUACGGCGGGAUCAAGAGGAUGGAUCUCGAGGACGGGCAGGCGGCGGCCGUCAUGCGAGAGGAGCCUGCUCGCAGGGUGCUGCGACGUUGACAAGCUGGGGCUCGAUACUGGGGCGCUCCGCUUCCUGGCGCACCUAUUCGUGUUCCACGGCCACAGAAGUGUACCGGUACUGAAGCACCUUGCGACGCGUUUGGUUCGAGCAGAGGUAAAGUAUUCAGUAUUGCAAUGAGAAUAUAGUGUAUUAAAUCAGGGACAAGCGAAUACGUUAUGUGUUUGGUUCAUGCAAGGGAAGAGGAAACAGUGUCACCUCCGCCGGCCAUGUAGAAGAUGCCCACUGAGGGACGACGACUUGCGAUGAGAAACGAGACCAGCAACUGCUCACAGCGGCUAUACUGCUCACGGCGGUGAAGGGAGAUUGGCAGCACUGCUUACGUCGACGACGGUGAUGGGAGAUUGGCAGCGCUGCUACUCUAACAGAGGCGGCGAAUUGAUACGACGGUGGUGCUGCUCACGGAGGCGGCAAACUGAUACGACGGCGUUGUUUCUCAUGGCGGAGGAGGAUCACCGGCGGUUCUAUUCAUGGUGGAGGUGGUUUGCUGGCACUGCUGCCUGGUCCUCGGUGGUGAAGAAAACGAUCCGAAAGAGUGGAGGUGUCGAACUACACUACUAGCACAGGCUGCACCUUGUCUUUAGCAAAGACGGAAAGCCUGCUAAUUAAUGAUACAGGGAGAUGAACGAUGUGGAUAUGAAGUAGUGGGUUGUGCUUUUCUGCAGUAAAUGCAUUUAGAGAUUAGAUGGCUUACUCCAAAGACAAGCAACUAAUCUUGUUGAUGGGAUUGCUGCGCAGAUUCAUGCAUCGUGCUCUUCCGUGGUAAGGAGCCUGUGGCUCUCUCAAGUCUCAACUGAUCAGAAGGGACAAGUAAAUACAUUAUGUGUUUGCUUCCUCUGUUUCAAAAGGAUGUCGUUUGAGCGGCAAGUAAUUUCGGGCGAAGGGAGUACUUAACAUAAAACAUUAGCAGCUGAACGGUGUGACAUGCAAAAUAAAUAUCCAUCUAGGUCAGCUGGUUGGUCAGAGGAAGAAAGCAUAAUGCAUGAAUGAAAGUGGAGAGGACAAAGAAAGAUGUGUGGAUUCUCAUAGUUGAAGUAAGUAAGUAUUAUGGGGAUUCUCAUAGUUGGUGAAAAUAAAUAUUAUGCGGAUUCUCAUGGUUGGAGUUAAUAACGGACACAGUGGCGUAUUAGUUGUUUGCCCAACAACGGACAUCGUAUUGUUAUUUCAUGGUAAUACACGACAUUCAACUGUAUAUGUUACAACGUGGCAAUGGCCCGGGAGGCAUUGGAUCUGCCGUCUUGGCUAAGGGGGCGUCACGAGUGGGGAGGCGAUCAGCGGGGAGAGCCAGGUGGUUGGCGGGGGACUCCUCGUUCACGAUCCAUGUGGAAGUACGUUGACAAUUCAUGGGAAAGUACUAUGUGAAGUACCGUUGGUGCUAUGGCGAAGAUAAAGUGGGUGUCGUCCAGUUUAAAACGGAAAGGUUUACAUGAAGAGGGAGAAUGCCGGCAGCUGCGAUUCUGGGCUGGAAAG
Long non-coding RNA from Triticum dicoccoides, 1962 nucleotides. RefSeq lists it as uncharacterized. The record is from RefSeq and is a predicted model, not a curated record. The transcript is spliced from 6 exons. Lineage: Eukaryota; Viridiplantae; Streptophyta; Magnoliopsida; Poales; Poaceae.